RNAcentral lists this ribosomal RNA (253 nucleotides) under uncultured bacterium. RNAcentral describes it as "partial 16S ribosomal RNA". It matches the Rfam family "Bacterial small subunit ribosomal RNA", at positions 524 to 776 of the family's 1533-position model. The record is from RNAcentral.
UACGAAGGGUGCAAGCGUUACUCGGAAUUACUGGGCGUAAAGCGUGCGUAGGUGGUGAGUUAAGUCUGUCGUGAAAGCCCCGGGCUCAACCUGGGAAUGGCGAUGGAUACUGGCUCGCUAGAGUGCGGUAGAGGAGAGUGGAAUUCCCGGUGUAGCAGUGAAAUGCGUAGAUAUCAGGAGGAACACCGAUGGCGAAGGCAGGUCUCUGGGCUGACACUGACGCUCAUGCACGAAAGCGUGGGGAGCAAACAGG